UUUUUAAUCUUCCAGCAUAGAACAUUCCACAUUCUGCUUCACACACGGUGACUCACUCACUACUGCUUUGCACCAGUGUGCCCACUCAGAGUGCCUAUAAAGUACAAGCUCCAGAUCGAAAAAGCUUCUAGAUGGAUCCUUUCCAGACUCGGUGUCUUUUCUACAAACUCUGUGCCUCAACAACCAUUUCUGAGUGCUUCAGCACCAGUCAGCAAAGUGAAUAAGUACUGUGCUUCUUCC
Molecule: long non-coding RNA, 240 nt
Filed under: Saimiri boliviensis boliviensis (Bolivian squirrel monkey)
Lineage: Eukaryota; Metazoa; Chordata; Mammalia; Primates; Cebidae
Description: lncRNA (ENSSBOG00000036454.1)
Source: RNAcentral